GCCUCCACAGCCCUCUCUCUUCUCUCACCAGAAAAUAAUAACCACAUCAACCCACCCCGCCGCCUCUCACUAGUCGGCGGAACCCCACUUUCCUUCUGUUCUUUCUCUUUCUCCGGCGACUUCACCAAAUGAACGUCGUUUAACAAACAAAACCCCACAAUAGACACUGCUUCCACCACCGGCGAAUCCAAGCCAGCUGCACCUCUGCCAAAACAAUACCGGAGCUCCGUAGGCAAACCCAACAAAAAAACCACUAUCGUCGCUGCUCCAUCAACGAAAACAUCUUGCUAUCUGGCACGUGAGAUUUUUAGUACUUGAAUUUCCAAAAAACCACCGUCGUAAGGUAAUAAAGAUGUGACUUUUUCUUUGCAAACUGUUUUGCCUACAAGAUGAACUUGAAUAUCAGUAGUUGACCAUUCUAAUUAGGAGUUAGGACAACAAUUUAAACAUUUUUUAAAAUUAUUAAUUUUUUACUGAAUAUGGUUUGUAAGGAUGGAGACUGAAAGUUGUGUAUUUGGCUAAAUAAAUUAUGUAUGAUGAAAGAUCUGUUUAAAAUCCCUAUUUUUCUCCAUUUGGGAGUCCAGUAAGCAUGGUAUAUUGAUUAUAAGAAUAAGAAAAGGAAUUCAGCUAAAGUAUAUUUAACAAGAUCAAGUGAUUUUUUUUACUCUAUUCUAGAGUUUUAGCUCUUCUAUGUUGACACAGACCUUCUAUAUCUCUUCUCAUUUGUAACAUGAUUAUUAAUUGUUUUCCAUUCUAAUUUAUGUGGCAUAGUUUAAAUUGAUACAAGUUUAAGUUAAAAUUAAAGAUGUUUCAAGCUUUUUUAAUAGAGAUAAUUAAGAGGCAGAACAUACAACUAAAAAGUACUGUAUUCAAGAAUUUGUAUUUAAGUUAAUAAUGUGGUUGAUUAGUAGGACUAACAAUUGCAUUAUUAUUCAUUACCGUCAAGUUUAUUUGUAUUUAAGCUAGUAAUUCGGUUGACUAGUAGGACUAACAAUUGCAUUAUUAUUCAUUACCGUCAAGUUUAUUUGUAUUUAAGCUAGUAAUGCGGUUGACUAGUAGGACUAACAAGUGCUUUAUUGUUCAUUGCUGUUAAGUUAAUUUGUAUUUAAGUUAGUAAUAUGGUUAACUGGUAGGACUAUGAAGUGCAUUAUUUUUCAUUACUGUCAAGUUAUAUUAAGUACUCCGUUUCAAUUUGUUUGUCUGAUUUAAUUUUGAACGGAGUUUAACAAAGUGAAGAACAUUUUAAAAUCUUAUGAUCUUAAAUUAAAACUGUAUAUAAUGAUCAAGUGUAGUAUUUUGAAAUGUGUACUACUGACUUCAAAAUGAUCAAGUGACGUCACUUGAGAAGUGGAUUAGUGACUUGAAAAAUAGUUAAGUGUAGCGACUUGAAAUGUGAAUUAGUUACUUGAAAAUGGCCAAGUGUAGUCACUUGAAAUGUGUACUAGUGAGUUGAAAAUGGUUAAUUAUAGUGACUUGAAAAUGUUUAAGUAUAGUGACUUGAAAUGUCAAUUAGCUAUUUGAAAAUGGUUUGAGUGUAGUGACUUGAAAUGUGUACUAGUGACUUGAAAAUGAUCAAGUGUAGUUACUUGAAAUUGUGAAUUUAUGACUUGAAAAUAAUUAAGUGUAGUUAUUUAAAAUUGUGAACUUGUGACUUGAAAAUGGUUAAGUUUAGUCAAUUGAAAUGUGUACUAAUAACUUGAAAAUAAUAAAGUAUCGUUACUUGAAAAUUGUUAAGAAUAGUAACUUCAAAUGUGAAUUAGUUACUUGAAAAUGAUUAAGUGUAGUGACUUGAAAUGUGAACUAGUCACUUGAAAAUGGUCAAGUGUAGUCACUUGAAAUGUGUACUAGUGAAUUGAAAAUGGUUUAAGUGUAGUACUUGAAAUGUUUACUAGUGACUUUAAAAUGGUCUAGCCAUUUGAAAUUUUGAACGUGUGACUUUAAAAUGAUUAAGUGUAAUUACUUGAAAUGUAUACUUAUGACUUUAAAAUGAGUAAGUGUAGUGACUUGAAAUGUUUACUUGUGACUUUAAAAUGGUUAAGUGUAGUCACUUGGAUGUGAACUAAGUUACUUGAAAUUGUGAACUUGUGACUUGAAAUAAUUAAAUGUAGUGUCUUGAAAUGUAUACUAGUUACUUGAAAAUAAUUAAGUGUAGUGACUUGAAAUGUAUACUAGUGACUUUAAAAUGAUUAAGUGUAGUGACUUGAAAUGUGUACCAGUGACUUGAAAAUAGUUAAGUGUAGUUACUUGAAAAUGGUUUAAUAUAGUUACUUGAAAUGUGUACUAGUGACUUAAAAAUGGUUAAGUGUAGUUACUUGAAAUGUGAAUUAGUUACUUGAAAGUGGUUAAGUAUAGUGACUUGAAAUGAAUGAUUUAGUGACUUGAAGAUAGUUAAAUAUAGUUAUUUAAAAUGUGAAGUACUUACUUGAAAAUGGUUAAGUACAUUGACUUGAAAUGUGAGUUAAUUAUUUGAAAAUAGUUAAGUAUAGUGAUUUGAAACGUAUACUAGUGACUUGAAAAUGAUUAAGUGUAGCGACUUGCAAUGUGAAUUAGUUAUUUGAAAAUCGUUAAGUGUAGUGACUUGAAAUGUGUGCUAGUGAGUUGAUAAUGGUUAAGUGUAGUUACUUGAAAUGUGAAUUUGUGUUUUGAAUUUACUAAAGUGUGGUAACGUGAGAACUGAUUUAAUAACUUGAAAAUAUUUAAGUUUAGGUACUUGAAAGGUGAACUUUUAUUUUGAAUUUACUCAAGUGUGGUCACUUGAGAAGUGAAUUAGUUACUUGAAAAUCCAAUUGUUGGGGGGGGUGGGGGUGGGGUGGAUAAGUGCGGAUAACUUGGGUAAAAAAUAGAUCUAUUAUAGCUCUAAUGGAUCUAUUUUUAUUUGUGCGUGGAUAUUUCUUAACUUCUCUAAACAUUUUUUAUUUUUAGUGUAUUUAUUUUAAUUUUAUUAAUGUUCAUAUCUUGGGGGUGAUUAGAUGGUAUUUGAUUAAAUGCUUUACUGUAAUAUUCUUUAGUUUUUUUCACUUAGUCUUUGUAAUUCUUGUAUAUUAUUUUGGAGGUAUUCAAAAUAUUCUAUAUCUUUUAUUCUAAAAUAUUCAAUUAAAGUAUUUCUGUUAAUCUCAUUUCUUCCAUAUCUUGUCCCUAAUAGUUUAAAUACUCAUAGUAUAUCAUUUUAUCCUAAAGUAGUUGUGAUACUGCAAAUUUCUUUGGAAUAAUUUAUUCUAAUUGUACUAUAUCUGAUAUUAAGUUCUAGGUUAUCUAUUUUGCUAAUUAUCCUGUCUUUUUCGUCUAUGAAUAAUUAUAUAUCUAAAUCAUAUUCUAAACUGUCUUUUAAUUCUAAUUGUUUUAUGGUUUUAUUUAUCCAAAUUAAUCUUUCUUUUAAUUAUUCUCUUCCUUUUCUAAGCUGGUUUCUAUAAUUAAUUUCUUCGUAUAGCCAACUUUGUUCUUUGAAUAUAUUCUAGCAUUUCUUAAUCUGUAUAAUAUCCAUCUGAAUAAUUAUCUAGGUAGUAAUAGUGAUUGUCAUCACUUAAGUAUAUUUCUCCUAACUCAUCUUCUAUCUGAUUUAUAUCUAACUCUUCAUCUUCAAUGUUAAAUAUUUUUUCCCAUAUUAUUUUUUUUACGUUUAUAAUUUCUAUAUCUCUAAGUAUGUAUAAAACUAGUGCUUCAAAAUUAUCUAUCAUUUAGGUGGGUUAAUUAAAUUCUUUUUCAUAAUUUUCUUUAGUUGUUUGUUUUAAUCUUAUUAAUUCCUCUAUAUUUUCAUUAAGAUAUUCUGGUUUAGUAUGUAGGUAUAUGUAAGAGUAGUUAGGUAGGUGUGAUAUAUAAUUUAUUCUAGUCAUAAAACAUUUAUCAAAUAUUUUUUUCAAUAUUAUUUUUCUUAUAUCUACAAUUUCUAUAUCCUUAAGUACAUACAAAACAAGUAUUUUAAAUUUAUCUAACAUUUCGUCAGAUAAAUAAGUAUUCAUUUUUCAUAUGAUGCCUUUUCAAAAUAUUCCCUUCAAUCAUACACAUAACAAAAUAUGAUCAUUUUAGAUUACUAUAUACUAGAUUAUUCUUAAAUAACAUGUUCUCUGGUCACUAUUAGCAUGGUAAUCUGGAUACUAUUCCCUUAAACAGUGCCUCUACUCUGGCUACUCCCCUAUCACGGCUUUCUUGCCUCAUCGGUUUCACCCUUAGGAUGACAUAGUUCUUAGAGAUUUUUUUCCUUUUCUGCUUUGCUAAUAAACUUCUUAACAUGCUAUUUUUUUAAUAAUUCUACUAUAAAGUAACUAACAAGAACUUAUUUUAUGAAAUCAUGAUUGUCAGGAAUUUAUGAAUUUAGCUAUUCAUAAUCGUAAAUAAAUAUACCUGUUCUGGUAGGUUUGAUAAUUCUGAGCUUUGUUCAUCUAUAGCUUUUCCUUAGAAAUAUAUCUGUUUUUUAUUAAAUAUUCAAAAGUUUUUUGUGUACAAGAGAGAUAGCUUGCUUUCAACACAUGAAAGUCUUGUCUUUAUCUUGCUGAAUGACUUACAUAUUUAUAGGAGGAAAUAAACUAUUCCUACUUCACACGUUUUUUACAUGUAAAGUAUACUAUUCCCACUUUUUACAAAAAAAAUCUUCCAUUUUAAUAGUAGAAAAGGACUAGACUAAACUAGACUAGUAUAAUAAGACAAAACUAGGACCUAUCUUUACAAAAGAAAAAAUCUUAAGACUAAAAAAUAAAAAAUCAAUAAUGGCACUUUGGCCAAAAAGUCCAAAACUAAACAAUUUACGUAACAAAAUUUCAAAACUAUAUAUGUCACUUUAUAUAUUUUAUUAUCUUGUUUUUUGUCUUUAUUCCAUCAUUACUCCAUUGAUUUUUAUCUUCUAGCUCACAUUAUCUUUUUGGUUGAUUUUUUUUAUUCUAGCCAGACUUCCGAAAUAAUAUUAUCUUCUCCAUUACAUCUCGAACAUUGAUGGUCUGGAUAUUUGUGUCCAAUUAUCUUGCAAUAUCUUGUUAAUAAUUUGUUUGAAAUAAAUCCUUCCUAACAGCUCUUCCAGUAGAUUGUUUCUCUGGGUUAAGUAAUGUCAUUAUUCAUUGCCUAACAUCUUCCAUAUUUGUUUGUCGUAGUUCUCUUGAAUUUGAAUAAAUCAUUUGAUGAUCUCUUGAAUAAUAGCUCCAUAUUGGAUUUUCAUUGAUAUAAUUAUUUGCUAAUUCUUGAAUAAUUGUAGCUAUUCCAAUAAGUCAUUUAUUUGCGUAAAAAUUAGGUAUCUCGAUUUUGGGUAUCUCUGGCUACUGCACAAUAUCUUUCGGUAUAAUCAUAUCUUUGGUUAAUCCUACUUUUACAAUUUGUAUAACUAGUUUGAUCUCGUCGUAUAAUAUCUCUGCUGGUGCAGUAUAAAACUUUAUAUAAAAUACAUUUCCUUUGGUUACUCUUAUAUAGGUGGUGAAUACUUUAUGCAAUUCUUCUAUAGCUGUUAGUUCUUCUCUAUCUUGGGUAUAUACGGUAUUUAAUAAUCCAUAGUCAAAACAAGUUUUUAUUAAGCUUGAGUUGAUUUUGGGUAGUGCGAUUAGCUUUUUGUAACCUUGCAAUUUUUGGGUUAUAUAGUUUGUGUUUGGUUCUUGGAUAUUUGUAGCUCUGGGGUUAAGGUUUAGAAAAGUUUGUACUUUAUAGAUAUUUUCUAUAUAUCCUCGGGCUAUAUGGUUAUAAGUUUUUUUAUCUGGUUCAAACUAUCUCGAUAUUUGGUAAUUUGUGAGGGUAUGUACAAGGGGUCUUUUUGUAUUUUUGGUAUAAAUGGUUUUUCAAAUAUCUUAUUCAUGUUCAUGUUCUGAUAUCUUUGUUCACUAACUCCUUUGCUUGUACCUUCAAUUGUAGAUUGAUAAAUGUUAUGGGUUUUAUGGAGUGUCCCAGCAUCUCCUUCUAGCUCUGGAACUUUAAUAACUUCCGAUCGACAGAGUUCUGCACACUGCUGAGUUAGCUGAUUCAUAGCCUUAGACUUCUGUUUAACUUCAUUAGUCUUUAGCUUUUCUAUUUCAUUAUCCAUAUUGUCCACUUUCAUUGAAAGCGUAGUUAGGGUUUUGAGUAUCUUUUCUAAAGCAUCAUCUUCUAUUAUAUCAGUUUGUGUAGCUUUGUCUUGAUAUGCAAUCUGGAAUAACAUUUUUGUUUGUACUAAUUACUUUAAUUGUAAAUGUAAAAUUUAAUAUAUUCAAUACUAGUCUUAAAAUUUCUUUUGUUGUAACUGAGUUUUGUAUUUUCUUUGUUAACCGUCAUCGAACUUGGAUAUUAUCUGUUCUCAGAAUAAAUUUGUUAUAUACAUUAUAUGGUUGAAAAGCUAAUAAACAUUUAUAUAACGAACAUAAUUCUUUUUUAUUUAUUUCCUAUUUUAUUUUUGUUUCAUUAAACGUACCUGAGUAGUAUCUGCAAUGAUGUUCUAAUUUUUCAUUUUCAUACCUAUAUUUAAGUACUCCACCAUAACUAUGUUCACUUGCAUCUGCUUCUACUAUAUAUGUAAUUUUCUAUUUUUUGGACUUAUUUUUUAUCUUCUUCGUUGUAAUUAUAUUCUAUGUCCUUUUUAAAUUUUUUUCGUAAAGGCUUUAGGUUUUAUGCUAAUUUUGGUAUAUAUUCUCUUACUUCGUUUACUAAUCCUAAAAAUGAUUGUAAUUUUUUUUUUUGUAUCUAAUUCUUCUUUUGAAUUUAUUAUUUUUUGUACUAUAUAUCGUUGCAUUUUUACCCCACUUUUAUCUAUUUAUAUUCCUAAAAAUGUUAUUUGGUUUUUCAUAAUUUCGGUUUUCUUUUCACUUAAGCUUAUUUUCGAUUUUUCUGUUAUAUCUGUAAAUUGUUCUAAUAAUUUUAAAUGUUUCUCUUUAGUUUUUGUAUAUAGUAGUAUUUCAUCUAUGUAUACUAUACAAUUAAGUAAUUGUUUAAAAUAACUAUCCAUAAAAUGCUGAUAUCUACCUGGUGCAUUUUUAUAUCCAAAUGGUAAUACGUUCCAUUCAUAAAAUCCUUGUGGUGCCGUAAAUGCGGUUAGUUCCUUAGAAUUUUUGUCUAACUUUAAGUUGUAAAAUCCUGAUUUACAAUCAAAUUUACUAAAAUAAUUAUAUCCUUGUAUUUGUCUUAUUUUUAAUAUCUUAUUUGGUAUUGGAUAAGUAUAUGUCAUAAUUUUUGCAUUUAAAUUUCUAUAGUCAAUAACCAUUCUACUUUUUCUUCUUUUUCAUUCACUAUGUUUAUUUACUAUAAAUUCUGGACUAUUAUGUUUACUAUUGCUUUUUUGUAUAUACUAUUUUUCUAAUAAUUCAUCUAUACACAUUUUAAAUUCUUUUAAAUCGUCAAAAUUAUAUGUUAAUGGUUUUUGAGUUAUUAUGCUAUUUUUAUCUAUUAAUUCAACUUUUAUAGUAGUUUUAUGUUUUUCCCAUCCUUUUAAUGGAUCUUCACUAUAUAUUUGUCUUAGUUUUUUCUUUAUUAUUUCUACCUUAUUAAUUGAAAAUAUAGUUAUUUCUUUUUUAUUUAUCGGAAAUACAACUAGUUCUACUGUGUCUUCUGUAUUUUUUAUACUUUCUAACUUUUGUGUAAUUUUUUCACUUCCUUCUAUCCAAUCAGUUUUCUUUCUAAUUUUAUUAAUAACUCUUUUUGCCCUUACUUUUUGUUUACAUGGUGUUGUAAACCACUAAUCUAUUUUAGUUAUUAUAUGUGGAUAUAAUUUAUCUNNNNNNNNNNNNNNNNNNNNNNNNNNNNNNNNNNNNNNNNNNNNNNNNNNNNNNNNNNNNNNNNNNNNNNNNNNNNNNNNNNNNNNNNNNNNNNNNNNNNNNNNNNNNNNNNNNNNNNNNNNNNNNNNNNNNNNNNNNNNNNNNNNNNNNNNNNNNNNNNNNNNNNNNNNNNNNNNNNNNNNNNNNNNNNNNNNNNNNNNNNNNNNNNNNNNNNNNNNNNNNNNNNNNNNNNNNNNNNNNNNNNNNNNNNNNNNNNNNNNNNNNNNNNNNNNNNNNNNNNNNNNNNNNNNNNNNNNNNNNNNNNNNNNNNNNNNNNNNNNNNNNNNNNNNNNNNNNNNNNNNNNNNNNNNNNNNNNNNNNNNNNNNNNNNNNNNNNNNNNNNNNNNNNNNNNNNNNNNNNNNNNNNNNNNNNNNNNNNNNNNNNNNNNNNNNNNNNNNNNNNNNNNNNNNNNNNNNNNNNNNNNNNNNNNNNNNNNNNNNNNNNNNNNNNNNNNNNNNNNNNNNNNNNNNNNNNNNNNNNNNNNNNNNNNNNNNNNNNNNNNNNNNNNNNNNNNNNNNNNNNNNNNNNNNNNNNNNNNNNNNNNNNNNNNNNNNNNNNNNNNNNNNNNNNNNNNNNNNNNNNNNNNNNNNNNNNNNNNNNNNNNNNNNNNNNNNNNNNNNNNNNNNNNNNNNNNNNNNNNNNNNNNNNNNNNNNNNNNNNNNNNNNNNNNNNNNNNNNNNNNNNNNNNNNNNNNNNNNNNNNNNNNNNNNNNNNNNNNNNNNNNNNNNNNNNNNNNNNNNNNNNNNNNNNNNNNNNNNNNNNNNNNNNNNNNNNNNNNNNNNNNNNNNNNNNNNNNNNNNNNNNNNNNNNNNNNNNNNNNNNNNNNNNNNNNNNNNNNNNNNNNNNNNNNNNNNNNNNNNNNNNNNNNNNNNNNNNNNNNNNNNNNNNNNNNNNNNNNNNNCACUUAUUAUAAAUUUAAAUUUUUGGUAUAUUAAAUUUCUUUUUAUGGAAGUUAUUAAACUCUUUUCUAUAGGUUUUAUAAUUCUAUCAUCUGCUAAAUAUAAUUCUAUUGCUGUAUCUAUUUCUUCUCUAAAACAUGCUUUUAUUAAUAUCUCUGUUCCUCCAAGGUGUACAUAUUUUAUUGGGUCUUUACUUUUUAUAUCUUUAUUUCUUUUUUAAUUAUUCUUUUUGGUACUAGUGGUAUACUAACUCUUCCUUUUGCAAAUCUACUGUCUAUUACAUGUUCUUUUUGGCUUACUAUGUAGUGUUCUUCCUUUUUUCUACUAAAUAUAUUUUUUAUUAUUGGUAUUUUAAAUAUUUUUUCUACACUUAAGUCUAACUCUUUUCCGUUUAUUUCAUCAAAUAUAUUACUGUCAAAUAUUACUUUUUGAUCUGUUCCUUCUUCAUUUAAAUAUUCUUCCUUUGUUAUUAUUUUUAUAUCUUCUUCAGUUAUUUGGUUUAUUUUUAUAUNNNNNNNNNNNNNNNNNNNNNNNNNNNNNNNNNNNNNNNNNNNNNNNNNNNNNNNNNNNNNNNNNNNNNNNNNNNNNNNNNNNNNNNNNNNNNNNNNNNNNNNNNNNNNNNNNNNNNNNNNNNNNNNNNNNNNNNNNNNNNNNNNNNNNNNNNNNNNNNNNNNNNNNNNNNNNNNNNNNNNNNNNNNNNNNNNNNNNNNNNNNNNNNNNNNNNNNNNNNNNNNNNNNNNNNNNNNNNNNNNNNNNNNNNNNNNNNNNNNNNNNNNNNNNNNNNNNNNNNNNNNNNNNNNNNNNNNNNNNNNNNNNNNNNNNNNNNNNNNNNNNNNNNNNNNNNNNNNNNNNNNNNNNNNNNNNNNNNNNNGUAUUUCUUAUAUUUCUUAUGUCUUUUUCUUUUCUUAUAAUAUCUUUAUUCACAUCCAAAUUGAGGUGCUAUUUUAUCAUUGCAACAUGGUAAAUUUUUAUGAAUAUUUUUUUCAUUUUUAUUUCUUCUCUAUAUUUUUCACAUAGAUUUCUGUACCAUUGUUGUAUGGAGUGUAUUCUUGCUCCUAGGGUAUCUACUAUUUUUGCUUCAUCUCAACUCUUUAUUAUUUUUGAACUAAAUGGGUUAGGUAAUUUACUAAAAUAUAAUUUUCUUAUUUCUCUACUUUCUUCUAUAUUAUAUGUUCCUUUAUAAUAAUAUUCUUUAAAUGCACAUGUAUACUCAUCUAUAUAGCACAUAUUACAUAUUGCUAAUUUUAACAUUAAAUUCCUAUUCUUAUCUUUCUCNNNNNNNNNNNNNNNNNNNNNNNNNNNNNNNNNNNNNNNNCUAAAUUCUUCUCUUAUAGCUAUUUCAUAUUUUUUCAAUAUUUCUGUUGGUAGUAUUUUAGUAGGUAUUGAUGUUCCUUCUAUUUUAUUAUCAGAUCUUAGUACUUUUUUACUUGCUUUAGCUAGGUUUAAAACCAUAAUUUUACUGUUUCUAUUAAUGUUUUUUUAAUAUAUUCUGGUGUAUUUGUUGUAUCUAUUUUAUUAUCUAAUAAUUGUUUUGACAUGUAUCCUAUCCAUAGUUGUAUUAUUUUAUUUGUGUCUAUUACACAGUCUAAAUCUAAAAAGUUUUAAUUAAUUAUUUGUUUUGGUGUCCAUUUAUUAUAUUCAUCCUUUGGACUAUAUCUUUUAAACUUAUUUUUGUUAUUAUAGGUUGGUUUUCUUAUUUCUGAUGUACUAGGUAUUAUAUUUUUAUCUAGAGUAUUUACUUCUGUAUUUAUUAGUUCUAGAUUUUCUUUAUUAAUUACUUCUUGUUUUUCAUUAAUUUCUAGUUUUCCUAUAUUUUCUAGAAGUUAUGUAUAUGUUUCACUAUCUUCCGAAUCAUAAUUAUCUGUUUCUUCAGCAUCUAUUGUAUUUAUUUCUAAUUCACUGGUUUCUGGUUCUUUAUUUUUUAUUUCUAAUUUUUCUUUAAAUUGAUUUAUCUCAAUUAAUAAUUUUUGUUCUUUAUCUUUUUCUUCUUUUUCUUUCUGUCUCUUUUCAUAUAAAUCUUUUAGCAUUUGUAGUUCUUUUUCUAAUUCAACAAUCCUACUAUUUUNNNNNNNNNNNNNNNNNNNNNNNNNNNNNNNNNNNNNNNNNNNNNNNNNNNNNNNNNNNNNNNNNNNNNNNNNNNNNNNNNNNNNNNNNNNNNNNNNNNNNNNNNNNNNNNNNNNNNNNNNNNNNNNNNNNNNNNNNNNNNNNNNNNNNNNNNNNNNNNNNNNNNNNNNNNAUAUAUAUAUUCUAGACUAUCUAUUGUUGAUUCUAAAUUUUAGAUUUCUGCUUUUUGUGCAUUUAUUGAGUUUUUGUUAACUCCAGCAAUUAUAUUAUACUGUAGUUUUUCUAUCCUUAUUUUUAAUUCAUUACAUUUUUCAAAUAUUAUUUCUUUUAAUUCUUUAUAUUAUUGUGAUUUUUGUAAGUUAUUCAUUUAAAUAAUAUUUAUAAUAUUUUGGUGGAGUGUAGGUAAUUGAAAUGUGAACUUGUGUUUUGAAUUUACUAAAGUGUGGUUACUUGAGAAGUGAUUUAGUAACUUGAAAAUGUUUAAGUGUAGUUACUUGACUGGUGAACUUAUGUUUUGAAUUUGCUAAAGUGUGGUCACUUGAUAAGUGAAUUAGUGACUUGAAAAUGUUUAAGUGUAGGUACUUGAAAUGUGAACUUGUGUUUUGAAUUUAGUUAAAUUUGGUCACUUGUGAAGUGAAUUAGUGGCUUGAAAUGCUUAGGUGUAGGAACUUGAAAUGUAAACUUGUGUUUUGAAUUUAGUAAAGUUUGGUCACUUAAAAGUGAAUUGUUGACUUUAAAGUUUUUAAGUGUAGGUACUUGAAAUGUGAACUUGUGUUUCGAAUUUACUAAAGUGUGGUCACUUGAGAAGUGAAAUAGUGACUUGUAAAUGUUUAAGUGUAGGUAAUUGAAAUAUGAACUUGCGUUUUGAAUUUACUAAUGUGUCGUAACUUGAAAAGUGAUUUAGUAACUUGAAAAUGUUUAAGUUUAGCUGCUUGAAAGGUGAACUUGUGUUUUGAAUUACUAAAGUGUGGUCACUUAAGAAGUGAAUUAGUGUCUUAAAAAUGUUUAAGUUUAGGUACUUGAAAGGUGAACUUGUGUUUCGAAUUUACUAAAGUGUGGUCACUUGAGAAGUGAAUUGGUGAUUUGAAAAUGUUUAAGUUUAGGUACUUGAAAGGUGACUUGUGUUUCAAAUUUACUAAAGUGUGGUCACUUGAGAAGUGAAAUAGUGACUUGAAAAUGUUUUAGUGUAGGUAAUUGAAAUGUGAACUUGUGUUUUGAAUUUACUAAAGUGUGGUCACUUGAGAAGUGAAUUAGUGACUUGAAAAUAUUUUAGUGCAGGUACUUGAAAGGUGAAUGAUUUAGUGGAGAAUCUUUGUGAGAGGAGGAUUAGGUCGUGUACAAUGUAUUUGUUAUUUAUUGAUGUCUUUAUGCUUUGUACUAUCUACCUUUUGUGUUUCUUGUUUAAGAUUGAUAUGGAAUAUCCUGAUAACGUUUUGAGAAUUUGACUUUUGAUUGCCAACCUUGUAAUCCCAUCUCCGCUCUCCCAUUUCCCGUUCCCCUACUCUCAUUUUUUUUUGUAUAAUUUAUAGUUUACUUUUGGAACAUUGAUAAAUUUGUGUUAACAAUUUGAUUUUAGUGUUUGUAUUGUUAUGAUGGUUGAUUACAUAUUAUAUUUGAUUGAUGGGUUUCUUUAUUAAAAAAAUUAUUUUUUUAAAUUUAUAAAAGCGACCACUGGUGGUCGCUUUUUUGAACUAAAAAAAAUUGAUCAUUUUUUUAAUAAAAAAAUAAUAUUGAAUUAUAAUCAUAUGGUCGGUUUUGAAAAAGCUACCACUGUUUUUGCGACCAUACCUUGUGGUCGCUUUGGUGGUCACAAAAUAAGGAAAAGCGACCACAUAUGAUCAUUUUUUGUGGUUGUUUUUCCUGUUUUUUCUAGUAGUGAAACUAUCUCUUAGAAUGGCAAUAUUCGUGAAACUUCUGAUAGUAAGACUAGAUCGGAAGAUCGAAAAUCAUAGGAAAUUUUUUGUCUGACUGCUAAACUGAAUUACUAGCUUUACAGACUAAAUUAUACUAAAAGCUUAUACUCAACUGGAGUACUUCUUCAACACUCUUUCUAAGAAGUUAUUGUAAUAGUAAGAAGGAAAGAACUUGGGCAUGAUCUGACUAAGAUAUAUUAGUAAGGACUCUUAAUAUGGCCAUAAAUUUGUAACAUGGAACAUAGGCCUGUGAAACAUACACUGGAAUUGCUAUGCCUUAGACAACGCAACUGCAACUCUCAAGCUUAAACAUACUCCUCAAAUACUCCCUCAACUAUAUAUUUCACUUCAAUACCACACUUCACUUGAGGCUACUAAAAAUAUUCGCAUGGGCACUGACAACUCAGUCUACUAAAGUCUAAGCUGAAUUGAAUUCUCUCACUGUGUUCAAGCCUACUCGAAUCUACAAAGUACACACAUAACACUGUAAUACUAGUCUGAGUCAUUAAUUCAACACACCAUGCAUUUUCACAACUUCUCAUCUCGUGAAUAAUUCUUACUACCUCUUCAACAACCAUAUUCAACCUCUUGCUAGCCAUUCAAUAACGUGUAAUGCAUCUACCCACUUACACAUCAACACGACAUUCAAGCCUAUAUUCAUAACUACAUAUGAACUUUUAAACAACACCCAUAAAAGCAUCUUUCUCAUAUUCUCUAAUUCUUCUAUCAAUAAAAACUUCUAGGCGUUGUUCUUAAGGAAAUCACACACAAAAUUUAAACUAGCCAUGACAUAUAUCAAAAACUUGGCCUCAAUCUUACUCCACACUUAUAAUCUUUGAUCAAACAAGAAUACAACAAUCUUUCCAUAAUAUGAAAUAUUUAUUCUCUCCCAUCUAAACAACUGUUCAUCACCACUACCAUUUCAUAAGGAGAGGUCACUGAAAGGUUAGAGCAUAAGGACCUGAAGCAUGAAAGAAUACUAUGCAUAACUUGGACGCUUAAAUGAGGCCUGAGAGAUAAAGUAUCCAUGACCUGGACUCAUUACAGAGAUAAAAUUGAGGAUAUACAUAACAUAAUCUAAAUUUUGUUGAUCAUUAAGAGAGUAGCAUGAUGGAAUUGAACAUACUGUAAAGCAUGAGUAUAUAAGUCAUGAGUAGCAUGACCUGAGUUUGGAGUUCAAAAAUUUCAUGGAAUAUGAUUCGUACAGCUGAGCAACUGGAACUCCUUAUACUAAGAACUGAAAGCGCACAUGAUUCUAUGAAAGGUGCGUGAAUUUGAGAUAUGAUCAUGGAACUGACAUGUAAGGCAUGAGUAUAUAUUGUGAUAACUGAAGUAAAAAUACCGAAAUAAUAAUGGGUUGUGAAUCAUCCUCCCUUACUACUAUUCUACAACAUACUGGCAUUACUACUGGAAUAUGAGAGCCUGACUUGGUUACUUAUUCUAUCAUCUCCCCCUUAGAUUUAAGCAAUCAUUUUAAGUGUACAGGACCCUUUUAAUAAGCUCUAAACUGAACUGGAACCACUUUACUCUAAAGUUUGGAAUAUGACAAUAAUCAUUCGUAAUAAAUUCACCCUAAAAGACUACACUCGAAAGUGCAAAACUCACUGCUAAUACUCCUUUAUGAGAUACAACUCGUAACUUUUUACAGCCCCAAUAGUCAUCAUAUAAUAUCUUAAACACUAGCUUAGAAUUUCUCGGAGUAUCACCAUACCAUGAGUUCACACCAUCUAGUGCUUCGACCUGCUUUCUAUUAGCUCAAUCUUCAAGGAUUCAAACUUAAAUUCUAACACUUAACAUGGAUACCUCCAAACCCUAACGAACCAUACUAACAUCCUUCAUAGCCUACUAAUAUCAUAUCUCUUAAUCACACCUACAUCAUCGUACUUAAUUUUGAAUUAAUAAACAUAAAUUCUUGCAUAUACUAUUUCAAGCCUUCUAGUUCACCUAUCAUAUAACUAAUCCCAUGGAUACAAAAAUCUACUAAAUUCAGAUAACACUAUCCCCACUUUACUAUUGCUAAACUUCUGGGUGCAUAUUUCUAGCUCUAGAUCAUAUGUUAUCAUGGGAUCCUAAGAAGGGAUCUGAAAAUACAUCUGACCCCUACGCACUGAGGUACUCACCCUCCAUUCAAUGGUUGAAUCAACUAUAGUGAUUUUCUGGGAUACUGUAAUCGGGCAACUUCUGUAUACCCAUCUGGCUAUGAUAGAUUUAGCCACUGGGUAGACAUGGAAAAAGGCUCUGCUAAUGUUUUUGGACUGAACAAAAAUUGACAUCUACAUAAGGAGUCACAAAAGUAAGUGAUGCUCUGGGAUCAAAUAAAACAUAAAUAGAGGAUCAUCUUUUUUGGCAUGACGUGAAUACUAAAAUAAGGGAAAUUUUUCCUAAAACGUCUUGUAGCCUCUUGUCCAUAAGUAUGACGCGCUUCACACCUAUGUACAAGACUCUACUCAACAAGGAUUUUCAUACUCCCUUGGACACUUACAACAUUAGGCUAUGAUAACAAGUUUUUUCACGACCCGAGGCCACCCCCUAAUCGUGACAAUGGUGCUUACGAUUACAAGUGACCACAAGCUGACCUAUGAGCUGGUACCUGUUGUGAGCACUGAGUAAACUAAUAAUAAACAAUAUAUGCGGAAAACAACUGACAGUUCCAUAAGAUUUUAAUUACUAAAACACGAUUAAAUCAUAGAUCUGAAACAUAUGAAGAAAUAUGGAAAAGACUAAUUAAAUAACUAAUAAACUGAAUAACUGUCUGAAUGUCUGAAAAGCCUCUAACUGACUGACUGUGGAGUUGAUGGGACAAACCUCCAACUAUCUUUGACUGAAUGGAAAUACUAAACUUCUAAGAUAAAUUGAAAUAAAAUAAUCAUGUCCUCGAUAGAUAAGGACUUACCACUGUCGUUGUUGCUGAAGCACUAGAUUGUCUAAGUAUGUUUGGGAAACUAAUCGUUUAGACCUAUGAUAUCAAACAUCAUAGCGCAAAGAAGAGUAUGUGGUCAGUACUUUGAAUGUAUUAGUAUAUGAGAUAAGGUUAGGCUGAAAUGCAUAGGUUCGUGCUCAUGAAAGAAUGACUGACUGAAUAGCAUGAGAUAAUUGAUGCAUAGAUGUGUGAAAGCUGUAAAAUCUGAGAAUGUAUGACCAAACAUAUAACAUGAUACUGAAAUAUUCUGUAAACUGAAAUACUAAAAUCUAGUAACUGAAUAACUAAUAAACUGUAUGUUAUAGUCAAGCAAACCUAAACUGAGACUAUGGGAGGUAUCAUCUAACCGACAUGCCCCAAUCUGAGCUAAUCAAGGUCCAACCUGUAACCCCAGUUGGAAUGGUGUCAGUACCGUGUGACAGGUAUAACACGAGCAGUGUUGAUCCACUAAACUAAUGUCCUAAAAUACUAAUGAUUCACCCUCAUUUGGCAGAUGCUCUAAUGAGAUAUGUGUUACCCUCAACUGGCAGGUAAACACUUUAUCAACCCACAACUGGCAUGUUGAUAUAUCUAACCUACGUUGGCUAUGUAGUUCUGGAACUAAGGGACUGCUACGAAAGGUCAAACCUCUCCUGGCAGGUGAGCCCUCAUCCCUGGGUUUGCUCAGUGUUAAAUCUUACUCUAAACUGAAUGACACUGAUUACUGGACUGAAGUAAGCUUAACUGAGCAAACAACUGAUCAUGAUAACUAACUGAAUGAAAACACUCAUGAUUUAUUUGAAAUUGUUUUGAAGAUACUAAAAUUAUGUAAACAGCUAAGUAUCGGGUGUUCAUAACCCUCUAGUGCAGAAUGGAAGUAUCAAUAAGGAUAUGUAAAGCUUUAAAACCCAUAAAAAAGGAUCAUUGCUCAAAACCCAACAUUUAAACACUUCAUCAAAUACAUGGAAAACAUGAACUUAAGCAUUGGAAUGGGUAAAACAUGGAAUUAAAAACAUAGUUACCAUACUAAAACCAUGAAUUAGGAAUUUAACAUGGAAAUUUCAUCAUUCAAACAUGUAAAAGGCUGAUCCCAUCGAAAACACUUGUAAACAUAAUUUAUAAUCAAAAUUCAUAAGAGCUUCAUGGAGUUUAUUCAUUAUAAACAUGUAAAAUUCAUCAUUUAAAACAUAAAAAUGGAUUAUUGGACUCCAUGGGUGAAAAGGGACCAUGGAUGAACAUCACACAUACCUUAAACCCUUAAACUUGAAAAGAAACACAAUCUUGAUGCUUUUCUUGAAAGUUCUCGGAUUAGGGAAUUUGAAUUCUUGCUUUCCGUGGAGAGAAAGGAGUGAAAUUGAUGAACUUGGGGGAUGAUUAGGGUUUGUUUCUUAGAGGAAUUUGAAGAAUAUAGGAAAAUAAUACCCUAACCAGCAUUUUAAUUUGUGUUUUUAUGAAUUAGGUUGAUGGGAAAAGACGUAACUGCCCCUCAAGAAAUUAAAUCCGCAACUCAAAUGCGAAUUAGAAGGCUAGUGACGCGAUAAAGGGCUCAUCGCUAUACCCACCACGACGCGAUGAAGGGUUCAUCACCAUACCCAUCGCGAUGCGCCGCUAUAGCGGUGAGGUUCUGGAAUCGAAAUCCAAACACAACCCAAUCCUCGUUCAAAAAAUCCAAAACUUCCCCGUGACGUACUUCUUACACCCUUGAACAUGAAUUGACUCAAAAACCUACAUCUCGAGGUCAGAAAGAACAAUUUAAAAAUCCUCAAAGUUAAGAGGCCAAAAAUAAGACUAAGUCCCCAACACUUAGUGAAAUUUUCAGGCUUUUAGCCUUUUAUGCAUGUAACUAGGUACCGAACUGAGCUAAGAAUAAUACGGAAUAUUACAUAGGAAUGAAGCAUUAUCUACCUUACAAGAUACAAUGAAUAGACUUAAACUUAGAGACACUACUUAUCUGUGCCCCAAACUAUACUUCAUCAUUUCCAAGUUACAAUUCUCCCAUCACACAUCCAACCACAAGAGUUUGAGUGCCACUGUAUAGUACUUCAAUGUUGAAGCCUAACUCAGAGAAAAAAGGUGUUAGCUUAAGCUAUGGGACUUCAAGCUCUACAUCUCUUUAAGAAUAUUACUUUACCUUAUCACUACCAUCAAACACCCUUGGGUUUUAAUUUCAGGGAGUACUAACCACAUAGUACUUAGGUUUGUGUUUUCAUCAAUCACCACAUUCAAGCCUAUCCUUACUACACACACUUCAUAGAUCUCUCCACUACGACCAAUAAAUUUUAUCAUUCUCACAAGGAUUUUUGCCACAUCUCUCCGUUCAAACUAUUUCACAUAACGAAAAUUCAUCUCUUUCUUUUCCCCUUCACCUAUAACCUUAGCUAAAGAAAUCACAUCAAAAUUUUCAUAUUUGAGAAUAUAUACUUCCCCUACCUAAGCCAGUACUACUCUUCCAUAGCUACUAUUGUACUAUCAUUAAGAGGGUCAUAGGCACCAUGAAUGAGAGUAACACUAUUCUAUUAUAACUUAUACUUAUUGUACUACUCAAGUUGGGACAUGAGGUGAAGAUACGACACAAUAAACAUAAAGUACAUCAUAUAUCAAGUGUCUGGAUCAUGAGUAGAGAGUCGUUCAGCAUAAACACAAUAUAACAUGAGUUCUUAGGACAUAUCACAGUGAGAAACAUGAGCGCAUACACCAUGAGUCGUAUAACGUAAGGUUAGAAAUCAUGAAGUCAACAAUUGAGAUAAGGAUUGAUAAUUGAAGCUAUUGCUUCUUAUUUUCAGAGCUGAGAUAUUCAUGAGUUUGCAAGUACUUUAUCACUUUGGGCUAAUCCCAACAUAAAGUGACUCGGUAACAUAUAAAAACAUCGUUCCUUAAAAAUAAGCAUAACAUGAAACAUGGAGUUAUGGAUCGUGAACAAUCAUAACACAGAGCUUGAAUAUUUGAAAACUUAUAUUGCUGGGGGCAUUAUUGCUUUUAGUUUGGAGGACGGAACAUGGACAUAAGUUGCAUAGAUAAUUCGAACCUUAGGUAUAUGCAUGACUUGAAUACAUAAGGCAUUGGUAGAUAACCUCUUAAAUAGAAGUAGGAGGAGUUUGCUUGAAUAGGAGUAGAUUUAUCAUGAUUCUUCCUUGAAACUAGCCACCAUAAGAAAAUUCAAAAACUACCUUAGUUCGUCAUCUCCCCCUUAGAUCAAAUUCACAAUCCUAAACUUGCGGACAUAUCCCCUCAUCAAAUCUAUAAUAAUAAUUGUCAACACAAUGGGGGUAUCAGUACACAUGAACACAAAAUCCCCUCAAUAAUUUUAAUAUAAAAACAUAAAUUCUUUUUAGGACAUCCUCUUCAGGAGCACUUAUCAUAUCUUCCUCUAACCCUCAAAGUCAUCGACUUAUGACUAACAUUAUCAUAGUCAUAGACAUCCAUGCUUCUAGACUCUUAACACUCUAUCUUCAACUCCUUAGAAUACUAGCAUUACACCUCUAAUAGCAUAACCUCAUAACAUAGCAAAAUUUCUAAAACUACACCAAUGGUUCACAUAGUCUAUUAAUUUCUCCCUCAAUUCAGUUGUAUAUAACACUAUGUAACAACUCUCUAUAUUUCUCCAUUCUAAGAAACUUGUGAACAUAGACUAGGUGUACAUGACAUUCAUAACUCAAAACCGAGUACACUAUAUUCUUAUAACUUAAGGAUCCUACUAUCAGAUGAUUUAGCCACUAUUUCUACUUCAAUACUAGAACUUAUGUAUAUAUCACAAUUACAUACUCCAGUAUUUUAUAAGUCAUCAACCUAAGAUCUUUCACACAUCACAUCAAGCCUAAUAAUUCAUUCCCAUAAAAUAUGCAUCAUUAAUCAUAAGCUACUAUUCUUACCACCAAAAUUCACAUCUAAAGUUCAAGCCUAUUGUCUAACCCAAUCAUGUAACACCGAUGAAGCAUGUUGCAUAUUAUACUAGUCCAUCAAAUUGGGAAAUCAACCCAAAUACCUCAUUUCACUUAACUACUAUCUUUAAUCACAUCCCCUCUGUGGCAUUAAUACUACACCUCAAAAUCCACUACAUACCUUCUCACAUGUAGUACUAACUUACAACUACUAGAAAAAAAAAGAAAAUUGGAGGGGGGGGGGGGGAAAGUCACAUAAUAGGGACAAUUGAUCUUAAUCUUAUAAUACAACCCAUUAUGAUCUUAUCAAUAUAUUCUACUUUCUCGCAUCAUAUUUACUUACCCACGCAUACAUCCACCACUACAUUCAAAUUCCAUAUACAUUAAUGAGUCUCUACCCAUAACUUAUCGACCAAUCUACCCCUUUCCAUUUAGAGCCUAAAAAUGAUUUCUAUAACUACUAUUACUAUCCACUCUGGGCUCUUUCACUAUUUUGAAUAAAUAACAAUCAUAGCCAAUCACUUCCUUCACAAACUACCAUAAAAUCUAUAAAAUCUUGCUACAACAUUAGUCUAUCACUAUAAAAUAGCAACCCAUCUCUCAAUCAAAGGUUAUACAACUAAAACUAGCUCCUUUAUGCAAAAAUUACCCUCACUCUGACUUCUAGACUUGUGACUUCAUUUAACUAGCUUCGGGAUCAUCUUACUACCAAUAGGUUAUGACACCUUAACAUAUACUACUACUCAAGUGGUAAUACUGUUCUAACAUUCUAUCAUAUAUCUCUGCCCUUAAGCAUGACAUCUGCAACAAGGAUUUUUUAAAGAAAUUGAAUACACUUCGUACCUUAGGUUGAAAAGCACGAUUGUAUUAAGAUAGAGGUAUACACUCGAAUUAAUACACUUUGAGUCACUAAUGGACUCCUCUCAAGUCCUUGUGAUAUUAUAACUUUAUGGAUAACUUAAUCAGAAAGGACCACUUCAUUAGGAAAUAUAAACUCUUAAAAUUGUAUCGCCUCGACAAUGAGGCAUGUCUCAAAAAUUUAAGUAAGCAAGGAAUUUAGAUCACUUCUGUAUGGACGAUGCUAUAGCAUGAACUAGAGUAUGAAAGAAUGUGAAAUAACUCAUAAAUGCCGGGUAGCCUCCUGAUUAUAAGUGUGGUGUACAACACCCCCAUAAGCAAGACUCUACUAGACAUGUCUUCGUAGACACCCUGGGACCAUGAAUCAUGCUCUAAUACCAAACUUGUCAUGACCCAAACUGAGGCCCUGGCCGAGAUGGGCAUCUCAAACCAUUAAAUCCUGAGAGUCCCCUUAAUAUAUAAUCAUAAGCAUAACUCAUAUGAAAUAAAAUACGAAAGAUAACCGAAAAAAUGGUAGUCCCAAAAUCAAAUUUAAAACUUCAUAACAUUUUAUCAAAAGGGAAAAACCCAAAUCCAAUCUAAAACACUCUACGAAGCCUCUUACUAGGCUAAAAGCAAUAAUUUGACUAAGUUGGGAAAAGGCCCCCGGCUAGACAAUAAAAUAACUAAAACUAAUAUCUGAAUAGAUUUGCCUAUCAAAGAAAAGGAGGCUCGCCAACUCUGAAUGUCGGAGGAAAAAUAUCUACUGGUUUGCAGGACUACGGGACUGGGCCUUAGAUCCUGAAAUGUAGGGGGUCAAUACUCGAAAGUACUGGUAUGUCGAACAAUACAAAAAUAACAUAUUUUUACACAACAUAAGUGAGAGCAUUUUAUAAAAACAAUUUAGCAUAAUGUAAAUGAAAACAUAUGGGCAUAAUUUGAUGAACUUCAAAACAUUUUCUUAUAAUCAUGACUCAACUCUUUAUUUUACUUCUGAGCUAGAUGGGUCACCCUACAUACGUACUAAUCCAUGGGCUAUGCGGAUUCCGCCGUUAGCCCGAUUGCCACAAGAAUUAGGGAAAAUAAUACAUAUUAUGCCAUAAGUACAUUGCUAGUCUACAAUCCCUAUUUUGUGACAUAAUAAAGUUCUAUCGGUAAAACACAGUUUCGGGCUAUGAGUUAUCUGAACUCAAGCCUUCUUCGGGUGACCAUCUCACUCUCACUAUAAUAUUUUUGGCCUACGGCCACACUAAAUCUGAACAACACUUAUAAAGUGUUGCCUAAAAUAGUUUUGGGCACGCUUUUAAAAUGUAGUCUUAAGUUUUAGCUUUAAGCCACGAUAAGUUUACCAACUCUUGUAAAGCGUUCUCUUUGAUACUGUAGGCUACACUUUAUAAGUAUUUUCAUAUUAUUAUAUAAUUGGCAAUGCCUUUUACAAAUAUGGUCACAUUUUUAGAAUGUGGCUAUUUUUUUAAUUUAAAACAAUAAUUUGUAAGUGUUGUAUUAUAACUUUUAUAAAAUUUACACCAAAAUAUGAUAUUUCCUUCAAUAUUUUUAUACUAAAAUAUUAUAUUCCCUCCCAUAUAUAUUUUAUUCCCUCCAGUUUCUAAUUACCCAAAAACAAAAAUCAUAAAACAUUAAUAUUGAGCUGAUGAAAUAAAGAGAAAUAACGAGGAUUUCUUCUUCAAUUACACCAUUGCAUUUUCAAGAGAAAUAAGCCAUGCGGUAGGGUUUCUUCUUGAUCAAUUACACCAUCCUAGUUUGAAGAGAAAUAAGUCAUUGGUGUUGUUGAAAACCCAUUAGUGUUGCUGUAUUUCAUCACCAUUAUUGAAAACCCGUGUACACUAACCCGUCGGUGUUGUUGAAAAUCCAUAGGUGUUGCUUUAUUUCAUCACCAUUGCUGAAAAACCAUGUCAUACUCUUUGUACCACCACCAUUGCUGAAAAACAUCAUGUUGUAUUCACUUGAGUGUUAGCAACUCGUGUUUAACUUAAAUUUAGGUAUAAUUGUUGAAUUUUGUUGAGAAUUAAACUUGUAAAACAAUGGUGCUGGUUGUAAUUGUUAAACGGAAAAGGACCUAAAAUGCCCUUCAACUAUGUGAAAUGGUGAAAAAAUGUCCUCUAUCUACCCAUUGGGUCUAAAAUGCCCUUCCUGUCUACCUAUUGAGCCUAAAAUGCCCUUUUCGUUUAUCUAUUGGGACUAUUUUGCCCCUUUUAUUUAAGAAAAAUUACAUAAUACUACAACUUAUCUUUAUUAACAACAUAAAAUUUCUAUCCUUUUUAUAUUACCAAAUAAAUAGUGCACAAUAUCAAUUUUUCAUCAUUCUAAAUUGAUCUGAUAAAUUAAAGGAAAAACAACAUAAAUAGUCAUUUUAAGAAAAUUAUUACAUAUACAUUGUCUUAUUAGUUGGUUGUCAGAUAUAGCAUAUAAAAUAUUUACUUUUAUAACAGAUUCUAAUAUAUAGAAAAACAACUAUAUAUUAAAUCCUCAUAUUUCUUAUUUAUUGCCUAUUUUUAUGAAAACCUUUGUUCAUUCAUUUUUUAUAUACUAGAUCAAGAUUUUAUGUUUUUCAUUUUUAUUGUCUGCUUUCACGAUGGCUCCAUAAAAAUAUAUGAUAUAUUUAUAGAAUAAAAUUCAUGGGAUAUGUAUAUAUUAUACAAAUUAUAUUUAUAUUAUAAAAAUACAUGUUAUAUUUAUAUCAUACAAAUUAUAUUUAUACCAUAAAUACAUGAUAUAUUAUGACAUAUAAAUUAUAUUUAUAUCAUAAACAUACAUGGUAUAGUUUAGAUAUAAAAAGUUUAUACCAUGUAAUACUGAAAAUAUAUAUUUAUAUUUAAUAAAUAAUUUUUAACAAGAAAAGUACUUAAUGAGAUAUAUCAUGAAUAUUUAUCCCAUAAAUUAUAUCAAAAAUAUAAUAAUAAUCUAACUUUGACAUAAAUUAUAUUUAUAUAACAAAAUAUAUGGUAUAUUUGUACUUUCUACAUAAUGACUUUUAUUCCAUGAAUAUUUAUUCAUAAAAAUUAUGGUUAAUCCAUUACAUUAGAAUUAAAAAUACACGAUAAUAAAAUAAUAUUAGAUGAUUAACAUACAUGAAAAUAAAAAGAAACAUACACGGGCAAAUAAUGGAAUACAUGAUUUAUGUAAAAAUAUUUGAAUUUUGAAUACAAGAGAGAGAAAGAUUUGAAAGCAAGUAUUAUCUUUCCACUUUUAAUUUGAAAAUUGAAAAUAUAUCUCUUAAAUUAAGGUGAAUUGAUAAUUUAUUAUAGCAUUACAUUAGGAAUUAUAAUUAUGUUUUUUAAAUGACUAUAUAUGUAAAAAAAAUAUAUUUAUUUUUGUAAUAUUGAAAAAGUACUAUUAUUUAUAUAGUUAAAUCUUAAGGAUGACCUUUUCAUGUAAUUUCCUUAAAUAAAAGGAAAAAAUAGGCCCAAUAGAUAGAUGUGAAGGGUAUUUUAGGCCCAAUAUGUAGACGAAAAGCGCAUUUUGGGCCUAAUAGGUUGACGGGAAGGGCAUUUUAGGCCUAAUAGGUAGACGAAGGACAUUUUUGCAUCAUUUUACAUAGUUGAAGGGCAUUUUAGGCCCUUUUCCGUUCUUUAAAUUAAACAUAUAUUGGGUGUUGAAUAUUUGUUGAAACCUUAAAUUCCCAUUAUAUAUUGCUGUCACACUCUUUUUUUCGCUAGAGGGUCGAGUCGAAGGUUUUUUCCAAUUAAAGUGACGGUUUUGAAUAAGGAUUAAUUUAUUUACAAAGUCGCCACUUGGAAUUGAGUUAUGGUGUUCCAAGUCACCUUUUUGAAUCCCUAGUCAAAAGAAAAUGACUCUUUUAUUUUGGUCUGCGAAAACAGAAGACUGAGUAAGGAAUUCUGUUGAUCGAAGGGUAGGUGUGAGGCACCCCUCGAGUCCCGUGGUUCUAGCACAGUCGCUUUUAUUGACUUAUUCUUAGCUUUAACUAUUUUGGAUAAAUUAUGUUUGCAGGGCUUAAAUUGCUCAUCUUUAAUUAUACCAAAAACUUGUCUAUUAUCUUAUAUUUAAAUAAAUCCGUGAAAGUCAAUUUUAGAAAAAUAUUUGCCAAAGUGCAUUAUUGAAUCCUUGAAUUUUUAAAUGUCUCAAAAAAGAUGUGUGUGCCGCAUACUCAAUUGAGACGAAUAUUUUAACGUACCUAAAAAACUUACCUAAUGUUAAAGGCGUUGGUUGGCCGUUUAUAAACUCGUAAAAAUUUUAUCUUAUCACAAUGCUAUUUAACUUUAACAAUAACCUUUAAGAAAUAUUUAUUCAAGGCAAUCAAUUAAAGUAACAAUAAAAAUUAUUAAAAUUUAUUAAUUACAAUGAAUAAUAAUAAAAUAAAAUGAUAAAUAAUAACUAAAAAAAUACACAAAACUAACCAUAUUAUGUUAAUCUUUAAUAUGAUCCCCAAAUCUAUUCUCUUUAAUUAAUGCAAACCCAAAGCACCGUGAGACCAUGUUUGAUGAAAUCACAUACUUAAAUUUGUAAUAUGUUCAACUAAAGAAUAAGCCAACAAAUAGUCAUGAAAUAAAUUCAAACAAACACCAUGAAACUUGACUAUGAGAGCAUUCCAUUCCACCGAUAGUCAUUUACGUAUGAUGCAUGUGUGUCUCUUCUUUUUUUUUAUGCAAAAUAUGUUGAAAUAUAUAUUAAGUAUUAUAUAUUUUUUAUUCAACAAAUACAUUUCCUAAAUCAACUCUAACUUUGAGUCACGGCAGGUAGCCUUUUGCUCCGUAGGGAGCUGAUCGAGAACAAACUUUUAGUAUUUAUAGUCCAUGAGAAAUUAAACCAAUCCUAAUUCUAACUGUUUUUUUUAAGAUUCGAAAGUUUAUACCACUAUACGUCUAUUGUGAAUUGGGCCAAAUGAAUCAACCAACAAGUAUUACUAGAGGCCCCUGGGAAUUUUACUAUAACAUUUUAACAUAACUUUCUUUUUUUUUUGGUUUUUGCAUGCAUGCAUUCAUGAUUUCUAUAUUCUAGUUCUAGUGUGUAACACAAUUACACUAAUCGCACGUUAAUUAAAUGUACCCCUACAUCUUUUAACAUUAACAACUUUAACAAUUAUCUCAUCCAAACUUCAAAACUCUAAUCUAAUUAACUUCAUUUCAAAAUGACAAACAAGUUAUAAAUGAAGACAUAGAGAAAACUACAUAAAAAUAAUAAACUACACACACUAAAUAAUAUAACAAUCCAUUAGAAUAACUUCAUUCAUGAUUUGACUCACAGUAAAAAUUAUAAAAUAAAUAGUGAUAGAUCGAACAAGAACCUAUAUGAUGAACUAAUUAAAAAGAAGCACGAAUGUCAUCACUGAAAACUUGAACGAGACUCCAAAACUCAAACUGUAACUCUUCUUUUUUUUCUUUUCCUUUUCUGUUUCACUCUUAGUUUUUCUUUUGAUUUUUCUUCAAAAUGUUAGUUUUUUUUUUUUUUUGGGUUUUCUUUCUGUCCGUGUGUUUUCAUUCUCUUGUUGUUUUCUUUGGUUGUCUUUCUUUUUUUUGGUUUUUUUUUUCGUGUCUAUAUUUUUUCUCUCUAAUCUCACGCCCCCUUCUUUUUCUCCCUUCUCAUUUUCUCUCUUUGUUUUGUUGUUUCUUUUUUCCACAAAUGUUGUUCUCUUCCUCCUUUUCUUUUUCUGUUCUUUAACUUUAAUUUGUUUUCUUCAUUGUGUUGCUGUUGUUAAUCCCCUUUUCCUUUCCCUAACUUUCUAAGGUAACUUUUGGUAGAGUGUAUUAGGAAAAAUAAUGCAUGUAUUAAUUUUGUGUAUUAUUAACACCUUGUUUUGUGUCAUUUUUCAGCUUGUAUAUAAACAAUACUUACAUUAGUUGUACAUUGUAUUGUGUAUUAAACUAUGUAUUAGUUAUACCACCAUUUUUCUAUGUAUUACUAAUGUAAAAGAUUUCAAUACAUGCAUUAACUUAGUUAAUGACAAAAUUACCCUCAAAUCCUAUCUUAUACAUACUUUGCUGCCGCUUUGCUCUGUUCUUUUCGAUGGAAAAGCAAGAGUUCUUUUCUCCCAUCUUCUUCUUUCUGGUUAAUCAAUCAUUCAUUGUUUGUUUUUCUUCUCUAGAUUAACACUUCUAUCCAAUCUAUCUCUUUACUCAUUCAUAUUUGUUUUUUCUACUCCUAUUUCACAAUUUGGGUAUAAUUUUUUCUAUAUCAAAAUCAACAAUUAUAUCAAUGCAAAACUGCUAGUUGGCAUAAUCUUUACACCGUGUUCACUGUCUGUUGAAAGGGAUUUCUACAUCCUAUUCUUGCUUCGUUUUGUUAUUUACAUUUUUUGAUAUUAUUGUUGUUGGGAUAGUUGUUCAUAUUUCUCAUCUAGCUAAAUUUUCAUUUUUUGCAUAACAUCUUGAUUGAUAAAGGAGGGUAUUUUUGUAAAUUAAUAAUUUCUUUUAUAGAAAUUAUAUAAGAAAUAUUAAUUCUAAUACAUCAAACCAAAUAAAGUAUAAAAAAUAAUAUGAGUAUAACUAAUACCAGCAUUGUUAAUGCAAGCAUUACUAAUGCAAACAUUACUAAUACACCUUAUUCUGCAUUAGUCUUAUACAUUCUACCAAACGACCCCUAAGUGUUUUUGUCUUUUUGUUGUGUUCUUUUUUCUUUUUCCGGUUUUUUUGUCCGUGUGUAUUAAUGUGUGUAUAUAUAUGGGUGUCAUGUGGGAGGUUGAGGGAGUUGAGGAAAAAGGGGGAGGGGAGGGUUGGGGUAGUUUAGUUUAGGAUAAGAAGAAAGAUUUUUUUUAAUUUAAAAUAUAUAAAAUAAAAAUUAAUUAAUUUUUAUAUUUAAGAAAAAUAUAAUAAAAGUUUACAAAAAAUAAAAAAUAAAUAUAAUUAAGUGAGUAGUAAAACCAUUAUCUUGUUUAUUAAAAUUAAAGGAAAAUAUAUUUUUUAAUUUUUGUAUUAUAAAAAACAAAACUAAAAAAAUAAAAAUAAAAAUAUCCCAAAAAAUGUAACGUUACUUAUUUGUUUUCAACUAAAAAUUAUUUAAAAUGAAAUAAGAGUUAAAAUAAUAUCAGACUAAAUAUAAAUAUUUAAUACCCAAAAAUAUAUAUAUAUAUUAAAUUCGAGAGAGUCAAAAAUUACGUGUCUACAUUUUGCCCCUCUUUGUGUGAAAUCUCAAAGAGUUUUCAUACAAAGAAGUAGACAAAGAAGUGUUUUUUGAUCCUUUAAUUAUUCGAAAAGUAAAGAUAAAAUAAAAUAAAAGAUGUGACCGAGUCCUGGUUUUGGGCCGCCUACAUAUCCCGGGUUAUAAGGGAAUCAGAUCACUUGUUGUUCAAAGGUAAAAAGUGAGAGAAAGAGAUAAAGGUCGAGUGAAUUUCUGUUGAGUUUCUGGUUAACGACUGCUGCUUUUUUACAUCAAAUGACUAACAAAAAUCAAAAAUUAAAAAUACAAAUGAAAAAUGCAAUUUCUUUGGAAUUUUGAAUCGAAUCUUCAAGACUUGAACUUGAAAAUUCACCAUAUUCUUCAGGCGGGCUCCUGACUUGCUAUUUCCUCACCCUGUUCUUCAGGCGGGCUCCUGGACUUCCUUUUUCUUCACCCUGUUCUUCAGGCGGGCUCCUGGACUUACUUUUUCUUGCUCUGUUCUUCAGGCGGGCUCCUGGACUUCUUUUUUCUUCAUCCUGUUCUUCAAGCAAGCUCCUGGACUUUCUUUUUCUUUAUCCUGUUCUAUAGGUAGGCUCCUGGACUUACUUUUUAUUCAUUCUUUUCUUCAGGCGGGCUCCUGGACUUUCUUUUUUUUUUUCAGCCUGUUCUUCAGGCGGGCGAUCCUGGAUUUCCAUUUUCUUUACCUUGUUCUUCAGGCGGGCUCCUAGAUUCACAUCAAAACUAAAAAUAAAAUUAUCCUAAACAAAGAUUAUUAUAAAGAGAUAUUUCAUUUUCUGGAAAAAUAAAAUUCCAAACAACAAGAAUUAAAUGUUUUCCCCAGUUUAUCGUCAAAGGACUUUUGUGAAAGUCACAUCAUCACUACUUGAAAAACCCGAACAAAAAAAUGCAUCUUCUAUAAGUUAAUUGGAAUGAUUCGACUAGAAAGUGCAUUUUCUAGAAGUCAAAGGGAAUGACUUGACUAGAAAGUAUAUUUCCUAAGAAUCAAGAGGAAUGACUCGACUAGGAAGUACAUCUUCUAGGAAUUAAGGGGAAUGACUCGACUAAAAGGUACGUCUUAUAGGAAUCACGAGGAAUGACUCCACUAAAAGGUAUGCCUUAUAGGAAUAAAGGGGAAUGACUCGACUAAAAGGUACGCCUUAUGGGAAUCACGGGGAAUGACUCGACUAAAAGGUACAUCUUAUAGGAAUCAAGGAGAAUGACUCGACUAAAAGGUACGUCUUACAGGAAUCAAGAGGAAUGACUUGACUAAAAGGUACAUCUUAUAGGAAUCAAGGGAAUGGCUCGACUAGAAGGUACGUCUUAUAGGAAUCAAGGGAAAUGAUUCGACCAAAAGGUACGUCUUGUAGGAAUCAUGGGGAAUGACUCGACUAAAGGUACGUCUUAUAGAAAUCAAGGGAAGUAACUCUACUAAAGGUACGUCUUAUAGGAAUCAAGGGGAUGACUCGACUAAAAGGUACAUUUUAUAGGAAUUAAUGGGAUGACUCGACUAAAAGGUGCGUCUUAUAGGAAUCAAGGGGAUAACUCGACUACAAGGUACGUCUUAUAGGAAUCAAGGGGAAUGACUCGACUAAAAGGUACAUCGUAUAGGAAUCAAGGGGAAUAACUCGACUAAAAGGUACAUCUUCUAGGAAUCAAGGUUUAAUUUAAGAAAUAUAUCACCUAGCAAUAUAAACUGAAAUACCUGGACAAAGAAGUAUACCUCUGAGGGAUAUAUGAUGAUAAUUUUUUAUCAUAAUUUUAUUAUCAAACCUGUGCAACAACAUUGCUUCUUGUAUUUAUGGAAAUGAGGCAUUGCAGCCCUUGAUAUUUAUACUCUGAAGUUCUUGAUUUGAAAGUAAUAUGUUUCCUGUUUCAUCAAGGAAAACUUAUGAGUUCAAAAAUAUGGUGGCAGGUUUGUGGCUUUAGCUUUUGUUNNNNNNNNNNNNNNNNNNNNNNCAUAUUUAACCUUGCUUCCAACCAUUAUCAUCCAUCAUUGACUUACUGUAUCAUUGACCAAACUCAUAUUAUCAGAACUGACUUUGAAACAAACACAGUAUCUCUACUUUGCCAUGCUCCUCAAAUAAACCCUUUGAACCUUGGUCCUUCCAUGAGUUCCCAGACUCAUCUGUUGACAAAAAUUUUCGCAUGCCUUAUUUUGGCUCACAAUCUUGUCUCUUUCAUAUGUUGACUUUUUGUCUUGUUUUAUGUAAUUGAAGAAUUUGGCAGCAAGUUUUGAGAUCCUUUCUCACUUGUUUUGAAAUAGACUUGACUCAAAGAUACAAGAAAAAUGACAAUGAUAAUUUUUUUUUAAAUAACUGACUCAAGAAGAGAAAAAAAUAGAAAUAUAGAGAAGGAAGAAAAGACAAUGAAUGUCCCUUUCUAAAAAAAAUUAUAAAGAAAAAUUUAUAUGAAAAUGAUAGUCAACUCUAAUGAUUAUGACUGCAUUUUGAAUUAAACAGCCUGACUUCCCACACUAAUCAUUACAACUCUAGUUCACUCAUUAGUUUGAAAUGGAAACAAUCUUAAACAUGUUCCCUCUAGAUCAUAAUCCUCCUUUGGCUAGUGGCACCUCAAUGGGUUUUUGCCAACGCCUAUCUCAUUUUCAUUUCUUUCUCAGCUCACUUUCACCUUAUGGUGCCCAAAACGAUUUUCACCAAUAAGACUCUCUCAUUUUUACUGGUUCAUUUUUUUUUUAGAAAAUAAUACCCAACAUACGAAACAUCAUGCAACCAUAACAUAUUUAGCCUUGACAUUCUCAAAGAUCGAUCUGAAGGGCUUUCUUUGGUUGUAACUUGACUUUUGAAAAAGGUUAGAGAGAAAGGGAGACAUGAGGCUAAAAAAUUUACAUAACAUUGGGUGAAACAUACAACUUUUGGAAUCUACUCUUGUAAGGAAAUAAACUUUGCCCCAAUUUCAUUUUAUUCUAGGUAAUUUGAAUUUUCUUUUGGUUGGACCAAACCCCAAAGUAGGGCUACCUACAUAUCUUUUCAUAGCAAGAAUCAGAUCAAACGUAGUUCAGACAACUUGUUCUUCUGCUUGAUUCUGAUUUUUUCUUCUUUUUUUCAGUUGUUAUUGACUCUUUUUCUCUUUCUUUCUUUUUGCCACAUUUUUCUUCACUUUUUUUUUCUUCUUUUUUUUUUGAAACUUUUCUGACUCUGGUCUUUUGCUCAACACUUUUUUUUUAGCUUUGUUGACUCUAUCUUGAUUUCAAAAGAGAGGUAUAAAAGAAAAUAAAAUUAAAGCUCAAAGGGGGUAACAAAAGAUGACACAACAUUUGGAUAACAGAAUAAAAUGCCUUCUUCGUAUCAAUCCUUAAAAAUGUAAGUACUUAACAUGCAAUCUGAGAGUGAACAUAAAAAUCAUACACAUAUUUAUCAUCAUUAUUUUGACUGAGCAAGUAUGUCACUACUUCUCAUGCACAUGAACAUACAGGUCUACAUAUGUUGUAAUUUCCUUACAAUAGAUGAGUCGUGCCUUUAUGUUUUGAGCUAACUUCUUUUUGCUCCUUCUGACUAUGGAAACUAUAUAUCCUCUGAUUGAUCUCAUUCAAAAUAUUUGAGAUGGACCUUCUCACUGAAGACCAAAUCAUUUUUAUUCACAAAGUGAUUUCCUCAAUAUAUUCAAGUGAGGUUGUAACUAUGUCCCCAAACACCUUAGCACUUUACUUAUUUUUUCAGAUGCUCUCUUUUUCUAACCUUAGCUCUCUGAUUUAAUGUUUCAUGAUUAAGUUGAUUUUAAGAUCCGGCUAAAAAUUUCACAGGCAUGUCAUAACACUAGAAUCAACAUAAAAUGUGUUGUGUAAAGAAGACAAACAAACAACUUAAAAAAAUAAAACAAAACAACAAGGACACCACAUUUUAUUAAAAGAAAAGAUAGAAGGGUUUAAAUGAAAAUGAAAGACAGACAAAACAAGAUAGAUUUCAAACUACAAUCCUGAAAUAAUUCAAAAAAUAAAAUAGAAAGAAAACAAAAUAAACUACCAACAAUCCUUCCAAGUAAGGAAAGAAAUGACUUCCUCAUUGUUGAGCUUGACAUCUUAGCCACUAGUUUGCAUAUCAACAUGACUAGAGCUUCCACUACUGCCCAACACAUUUUCUUUAACAAAUAAAUUUUAGAUCCCCAUGCUUAACUCAUUGUUUCCCACGUAUUGUGCAUUACUGUGUGUUAAUGAAGGAUUUUGUGUGCGCUCAUAGUGUCAAUGUUUUGCACUACAAUCAAAUUUUAUUGAAUCAUCCUUUCUAUUUCUCUUUUCAAAGCAUGACAAUCCUCAAUAUUGUAACCCUGAAUAUCAUAAUGAUAUGCACAUCGUACACGAGGAUUAAAAUUUCUUGAAUAUGGAUUAGGAGUGCACUCAAGGAAAGGAGUGAUUAUGUCCAGCUUUCUCAAUCUCUAGAAUAAACUGGCAUACGACUCCUCAAUUGGUGUAAAAUUAUUCUUUGACUUUUCCCUUUUUGGAAACUCCGGUCUCGAUUGAAAUUUGGACUUAGAAGUUCCUUGAUAAAUAUAUGGAGGUUUAGGACGAUGUUGAGGGACCGGUGCAUGCCUUUACAGAUAAGACAAUGGAUGAGCAUACAACUGUGUAUUGUUCAAAGGAUAUUGAGGAAAUGGAAUAAAAUAUCUUGGAUUUUGAAAAGAGGAACCUUGUUGCAUGUGAGCAUAUGAAUUUGAUGUACAAGCUCGGGAUUGAGACCGAUAAUAUUGCUAAGUUUGAACUCUUGAGCUCUGCUUUGCCCCUGUAACGACAAUAGGUAUAUUUUUCUUUUUUUCCCCUUCUAUCCCUUUCAAUUGAUGGCAAUAUCAUCCCAAGUGUUUUACAAAAUCCUUGUACCCAUCAUGUUUCUCAAAUUUCGAUAUCUCAAGGCUUGGAGAAAGGUUAACACUUGAAGACAUGUCCCUGUCUUUAUAUACAACAUCUUUAGAAUUUGUAAUUCCCUGAGAAUUUUUCAUAGCCUUUUCUGUUCUCUUCAUUUUCCUAGCCAUUUUCUCUUGCUCUUCUGUCAUGUCAGACUUCUUAGUAAGAAAUUUUGGUGGUCCAACUAACAUAGAUGUGCGCUCAGGAGUAUAAUAGUGAUCAUCAAGAGUGUUGAACAUUGACUUACUAGAAGAUUAGGGAGGCACAAUCAUCGGAUCAAAAGCUAAGGUGGAAACCUCAGUAGAGGGUGGAGCAACAGAAGCAGAGACUAUAGGUGGUGGAUUCGAUGUGGUAGAUUUAUACUGAAGAUCUAGAGAAUGAAUGAUUGAAACAUUGAGAUUCUUUUGGCUUGGAAUAGAUUCCGGGGCAUGUUGUGGCGCAUAACCAACAGCAGAAAACUGACCUUGCAAUUUUGGUGAAAAACUUAAGGUAUUUGUAGGGUCAAUAGUGGAAAAUGAUGGAGGAGGCAGCCCACUGUCCCAAGCUCGAUAUAUUUCCAACAUUUGUUGCCUUAAACUCACAAUCUCUUAUUUUAACCUCUUAUUUUCCUUACUCUUUGUCUGAUCCAUGAUUUCACUUUCUAUAUUCUUGCUGAACAUGAAUCUCUUUCCUGAAUUUAGUGUAAUAUGGGGGACCAUCCAAAAUACCACAAACCAACCACCUUAAAUUAACUGUGUAAGAAAUAACAAAGGCAUCAAAAUGUAAUAUUUUUUCAAAAACUCUUUUUCUUUUAUCUUCUUUAUGAAAAGAUCACCGAACCCCAGAAGGGAUGCCUACGUAUCUCACUAAGAUGAGAAUCAGGUGUGCGUAGUUCUUGAAAUAUAUGUUAUACAAAACUAAGCCUCAAGAACCCUAAAGGUUCAGGGAUGUUAAGAUUUAUGUGUUUUUUAUUUUGUAAAAACUUAGCCUCAUGAUCCCUAAAGAUUCUGGGCUAUUAAGACGUAUAAAAAUUGGAAUUGAGGAGUAGAAAAAUAAUUAUGAAAGGAAUUAUAUUUUCAAAAUAUUCCUCAAUAAAUCUAUGAAUAAUUUUUCAAAAGAUAGGGUCAUAUCCCGAAAAAGGGCUUCUUACGUAUCCAGAGUGAGAAUCCGACCCUCGUAGUUCAUAAAAAUCGUAAAACUAUGUUACUAUAUAUUUAAAAAAAUUUCUUUAUUUUAAAAAUAAUUUUUUGUUUUUUUUAAAAAAUGAUUCACUAAGUGUGAGGAUAAUUUAAUCUCUUGCAUUUUAAAGUUGCCUAAAGCCGGUCAACAAACAAACAACCUUCCAAACAAAUGUCAAAGAGCAUGUAGGAUGCACAUGUUGGUCUUUAUAAAGUAGGUCACUUGUCCUAGACAAACACGGCCCCUGUGCUGAGUCCCACAAAGUCAAAUGCAUAUGAUGGAAAUAAAGAGGAACCUAAUAGGGAUAACCAGAUUCUGAGUUUUUACUUUUUCUAAGUUUAAGCCUAAUAAGGAUAGGUGUCUAGACUGUCUUACCCGAGUGGACAUUCGAUCCAGGGAGGGACAACUUGGUCGGUAGCAGGGCAACACCGCCUUCGUUGCUGAUCCGAACCCCGCCUAACUUGUGUGACUAUAAUCCUUCACCAGGUGCCUUGAUACUCUGUCUAUCUCAAAAAGAAAGUAGGAUGCAUGCGCUGCAUUCAUUCUAUCCUAUUUCAGAGACUCAGAGGGAGUGAGCAAGAUAAGAUAGUAUAUAAUAUAGUUCAAUCAAUAUUAAAGUGGUAAAUAAGCGACAAGUAGCACAUAAGGACAACAAACACAAUAUAAACAGUAAUUUAAAAAAGUAUAAGUCAUUAUAAAAAGCUCGAAUUCUUUUUAGUUCCCAGCAGAGUCACCAGAGAUGUCCCACCCCUUUUUUCGCUCGAGGGUCGAGUCAAAGGAUUUUUCCAAUUAAAGUGACGGUUUUGAAUAGGGAUUAAUUUAUUUACAAAUUCGCCACUUGGAAUUGAGUUAUGGUGUUCCAAGUCACCUUUUUAAAUCUCUAGUAAAAAAAAAUAACUCUUUUAUUUUAGUCUGCAAAAACAGAAGACAGGGUAAGGAAUUCUGUUGACCGAAGGAAAGGUGUGAGGCACUCCUCGAGUCCCGUGGUUCUAGUACAGUCACUUUUAUUGACUUAUACUUAGCUUUAACUAUUUUGGAUAAAUUCUGUUUGCAGGCCUUAAAUCGCUCAUCUUUAAUUAUACCGAAAACUUGUCUAUUAUCAUAUAUUUAAAUAAAUCGAUGAAAGUCAAUUUUAGAAAAAUAUUUGCCAAAGUGAAUUAUUGAAUCCUUGAAUUUUUAAAUGUCUCAAAAAAGAUGUGUGUGCCGUAUUCUCAAUUGAGAUGAAUAUUUUAACGUACCUAAAAAAUUACCUAACAUUAAAGGCGUUGGUUGGCCGUUUAUAAACUCGUAAAAAUUUUAUCUUAUCACAAUGCUAUUUAACUUUAACAAUAACCUUUAGUAAAUAUUUAUUUAAGGCAAUCAAUUAAAUUAACAAUAAAAAUUAUUAAAAUUUAUUAAUUACAAUGAAUAAUAAUAAAAUAAAAUUAUAAAUAGUAACUAAAAAAAUACACAAAACUAACCAUAUUAUGUUAAUCUUUAAUAUGAUCCCCCAAAUCUAUUCUCUCUAAUUAAUGCAAACCCAAAGCACCGUGAGACCAUGUUUGAUGAAAUCACAUACUUAAAUUUGUAAUAUGUUCAACUACAGAAUAAGCCAACAAAUAGUCAUAAAAUAAAUUCAAACAAACACCAUGAAACUUGAGAAAAUUGAAGAAAAGGUGUCUUUUAAGUCUUGAAUAAAGGAUUGGUGACAUUGACCAACUUAAAGUGUCAAACAUCAUUAGAAAACUUGAUUAAGUUAAUUGUGGACUUGAUUAAUAUUUUCAAAACUUUUUAAUCUUUUCAAAAAUACAAAUUGACCCAACCCACACCCCUCUUCAAUCCAAAUCAACCAUUCUCUCUCGCUUGACAGCUUCUCUCAACUCUCUCCCAACCAAUAGUUCUGCAAAAUUUCUUCCUUCAACCUUCGGCGAUAAAUAGUCGGGCGAGUUCCUUUUCGACUUUCAACCGUCAAUCGACAUGAAGACUUCUCCAGCGACAACAACUUUGAGUUCUUCAUCAUCCCAUUUCUUUUUUCAUAGGUAAAAAUUAUGAAGAAACAAAGAAACUUGAGCCAACUAUUCUUCUAGUAUUGAAAUGUGGACUAAAAAAACCCUAAUUUUUGACAAUUCUUUUUCUUAUUGUCGCACUGUUGAUUCGAAUUUGUUGUUGAUUUUUUACCAUAGUUGAUGUUCUUAGUGUGUGUAUGUGUGUGAUGUAUUGGUGUUGUUGGGUUGAUUUAUUAUUUGUAUUGGUAAAAAUGGUAUUGCAACAGAUCAAAUAUUUGAUAUAACAGAUGAAACAUCUGAUGUAAUAGAUGAAAUAUUUGAUGUGACAAAUGAAUACAUCUAAUGCAACAGAUGGAAAUAUCUGAUGCAACAGAUAAAAAUCUGAUUCAACUAUGAAAAUCUAAUACAACAGGUGAACAAUCUAAUAGAUUAUUCAUCUGUUACGACAGACAACUCUUCUAUUUGGAAGAAAUCUAAACAAUAUUGAUCCAACAGAUAACUGAUUAGUGAUUUAUUUUUAUUCUUUCCAACGGUUUACUCUUCAUUUUGCAACAGAUUAGUGACUGCUUUUUUUCUAAUGGUUUACUCAUCCAUUGCAACAGAUCAGUUAAAUAUUAGAACAGAUAACAUACCUGGUGCAACAGAUUAGUGAUUUAUUUUUAUGGUUUCCAACGGAUUACUCAUUCGUUGCAACAGGUUGGUUAUAUGUUGCAAUAGAUAAACUACCUGGUGCAACAGAUUAGUGAUCUGUUUUUAUUCUUUCCAACUAUUUUCUCAUCCAUUGCAAUAGGUCGGUUAUAUAUUGCAACAGAUAACAUACCUGGUGCAAUAGAUUAGUGAUCUAUUUUUAUGGUUUCCAAUGUAUUACUCAUCCGUUGCAAUAGGUUUCCAACGGAUUACUCAUUCGUUGCAACAGGUUGGUUAUAUGUUGCAAUAGAUAAACUACCUGGUGCAACAGAUUAGUGAUCUGUUUUUAUUCUUUCCAACUAUUUUCUCAUCCAUUGCAAUAGGUCGGUUAUAUAUUGCAACAGAUAACAUACCUGGUGCAAUAGAUUAGUGAUCUAUUUUUAUGGUUUCCAAUGUAUUACUCAUCCGUUGCAAUAGGCCGGUUAUAUGUUGCAUCAAAUAAAAUACCAGGUGCAAUAGAUUAGUGAUCUACUUUAUGGUUCCCAUAAAUUACUCAUCCAUUACAAUGGGUCGGUUAUAUGUUGCAUCCAAUAAAAUAUAGGUAUAACAGAUUAGUGACCUAUUUUUAUGGUUUUCAUGGACUACUCAUUCGUUGCAACAGGUCAGUUAUAUAUUGCAACAGAUAACAUACCUGGUGCAAUAGAUUAGUGGUCUGUUGGAACUAUUAUAUUACUGUUAUGCAUUAAUCAAUUACAAUCUAUGUUAUGUUUCUAUUAAUUUAAGAUAAUAUGGCUCCCAAAAGAAAAGAAAUCUAAUCAAGUUCAAGUAAAGGAACAAGUGUAGCAGCUCAGCUACAUCCACUACUCUAUGAGAUUGCUUUACAAGCAUUAUCUCAAUUAGGAGCAGAAGAUAAUGAACACGAGGAGUAGGAAUCUUUUAAAAGAGAUGAUCCAAAUGAUAAUAGCCCUUCUGCCAAAGAGUUGGUUAAAACCUUCAGCGUUGAUCAUUAUCCUGUGUGAAUGCAGUGCGACGGUGCCAUCGAUUUAAUGGGUGAUCUCGUGGUUAAGUCAGUCAUGGGAAAAUCUUUUGACGCCUUUAGAAAAAUACUUCGAGUAUAAAAAUUGGAUUCUUAUUUCAGGGAAAGCUGCUUUGGGAAAUAUCUUUAUUUGUCGGAAGACAACAAUACUUGUUUCCAGAUGAAAAUGGUAUAUGAUCUUCUCAAGUGCAGGUUUAUGUAUGAAAACAAAGAUAAGAUGGAUGAGGUGUGGAUAAAUUACUGUGGCAUACCUAUUUUUUUUGGUUGGAAGGAGUUUGCCAUAGUUACCAGACUAAAAUAUUAUCCUCUUUCUCCUUCUCAAGUUAUACCUACUCUGACCCCAAAAAAAGCACACCGCACACCAAAAAAGGCAAAGACAAGUCGAGUGAUCAUGAUGACCUAGUGGUUAUUGUUGGUCCAAGAUUAAAAAAUAAAAAUCCUAUAGAAGCGUUGAAUGGUAAAGGACUUUCAAAGAAGCACAAACAAUCAUUGUGCUUGAUUUGGUUUGUACAUAAUGUUCUUUGGGCGAGAGAUAUUAACAACAACAUAAGCCUUGGGGUUAUGAAAGCUUCAAAAUGACUGUCGAAUAUUUGUUGACUCUGUUAACGCCAAAACUAGUCAAUUUAUAUGGCUUUCCAUUGGCCUUCAUGGUAAAUAUUUCUUUUAUCAUGAUAUGAUUCAUCAUUUUUUAUUCAAUAAUGCUUUUGAUUUAUCGACGCUAUGUUAUAGGCUUGGGCAUUUGAAGCCAUUCCUUAUUUGAGACAACAAGUGAACUACCAGGAAUAAGUUUCUUAUCCAAGAAUUCUGAGAUGGUUGCCGGCCAAAACCGAUAAAAAUGCAAAAUUUCUUGAUUUUUUCAAUCCCCCCAAGGAAGUUGUAAGUCCAAUUCUAAUCAAGUUUUUAUUUUAAUUAAUGAUUAAAUGAUUUCACCAUCAUUCUUAAUAUAUGUACCAAUUUAUUUUAGAUUGUCUAUUCAUGGCUUGUUCCGACCAACCGAGAGUUGAAGAUGACAGUUUUUCUUACUUUACGGUCUGUACAAACUUUAUUGGACCCUAAGGUCGUUGAUGGAAUAAAAAUAGAAUUGUUUGGAGCAACAACCAUCACAAGCAAAAUUUUUUUGGAGGGUAGGGCUAAUGAUUCUCCUCUUACAGUUUUUGAAACAAUAAGCCAUUACGAUUAUGAUCAUAAUGGUUGUAUAGAUUUUUCUCCAGAUUUUGACACAUCUAGUUAAUGUUCUGCAUACAAAUGUCAAGACAGCAAGGCAAAACAUGAUGUAGUGAUUAAUACUAUUAAUGCACUAAUUGGUUUUGUAAAAGAAAUGACAUCUAAGAGGGGUGUCAUUCCAUCAAAAAGGAUUUCAUAUCUAGACACUCCACUAGAGAUCAAGGCGGCUAAGAGGAGAAGGAAAGACACUUCUAAGGCAUCAUCAAGAAUAAAAAAAAGCAAGAUUGCAAUGCCUCUGUCUUUGUCUUACAUUGAUGUUUAGUGUGCAAGGGCCACAGGAGAGCAGCAUGAGCUGAAGAAGGUCAAGGAAGUUGUAAGUCCAAUUCUAAUCAAGUUUUUAUUUUAAUUAAUGAUUAAAUGAUUUCACCAUCAUUCUUAAUAUAUGUACCAAUUUAUUUUAGAUUGUCUAUUCAUGGCUUGUUCCGACCAACCGAGAGUUGAAGAUGACAGUUUUUCUUACUUUACGGUCUGUACAAACUUUAUUGGACCCUAAGGUCGUUGAUGGAAUAAAAAUAGAAUUGUUUGGAGCAACAACCAUCACAAGCAAAAUUUUUUUGGAGGGUAGGGCUAAUGAUUCUCCUCUUACAGUUUUUGAAACAAUAAGCCAUUACGAUUAUGAUCAUAAUGGUUGUAUAGAUUUUUCUCCAGAUUUUGACACAUCUAGUUAAUGUUCUGCAUACAAAUGUCAAGACAGCAAGGCAAAACAUGAUGUAGUGAUUAAUACUAUUAAUGCACUAAUUGGUUUUGUAAAAGAAAUGACAUCUAAGAGGGGUGUCAUUCCAUCAAAAAGGAUUUCAUAUCUAGACACUCCACUAGAGAUCAAGGCGGCUAAGAGGAGAAGGAAAGACACUUCUAAGGCAUCAUCAAGAAUAAAAAAAAGCAAGAUUGCAAUGCCUCUGUCUUUGUCUUACAUUGAUGUUUAGUGUGCAAGGGCCACAGGAGAGCAGCAUGAGCUGAAGAAGGUGAAUGUACAUCACCUGUUCCAAAAAACAAAUAGGAAUAUAUUUAUUUCAAUAGAUGAUACAUCUGCUGAAAAUUAUCAAACAGAUAUAUACAUCUGUUGCAACUGUUGUCUAACCUAUUGCAUCAGAUUCAUUAUCUGUUUCAACAGAUGAGUCUUAUGUUACAACAAAUGGAUCAUCUAUUCAAAAUUAUCAUACUGAUCUGAUUUACCUGUUCGAAUUUAUCCCAACAGAUAAUCCAUCUGAUGCAACAUAAAACUCAUCUGUUGCAAUAGAUGGACAAUCUGUUGUAUAUCUCUAGUUAGCAUUGACAAUUGGCUUUCCAGGUGGAUGUCAUAGUAGAUGCUACUAUCGAAGAGCAUAAUAUCACAGUUGAUAAUCCAUCAACUGCUUCCAAAGAAAAAGAUAAAGUGGAGCCUGUCAGUUUGGGAGAAAGGAAGAAUUACCUAUUUGAAAGGUUCAACAUCUCGAACGAGGCUCCAAAAAAACUAACACUGUUGAUCAACGACUAUCCAGAAUGGUUUAUAAUAUUCUUGUUGUAAGAACCUGACAUUAACAUAUAUAAAUCAUCAUGUAGAAACCAAAAUGACGACCGAUACAAAGUGAACAAAUCGAGUCUUGAUUUUGAUAUGUUCAACUUUGUUGUUGCACAUCUCAGAAUGAAGAAUUAGUUCUAUUUGAUGUCACAACCCCUAACUUAUUGGAAUGAUGAGGUUUAAAUGUCAUACAUAUUACUAUUAAUUAAUACUUUAUUUAAUUGCAUCUGCAUAUUGAUUUUUUUAUCACGUAAUCCUAAUGUUUGAUAAUAUGUGCAGCACAUCGAUAUCAUUUUUUACUACCUUUGAAAGAAGGCCAAGUUGCAAACACAAGAACAAUACAGAUAUAUGACAGACAAUUAUUUGUACAAAUUUUACAUCAAUAAUGCCUACGAUAGGUAUUGUCAACAAC
Molecule: long non-coding RNA, 40045 nt
Filed under: Capsicum annuum
Lineage: Eukaryota; Viridiplantae; Streptophyta; Magnoliopsida; Solanales; Solanaceae
Description: long non-coding RNA (CANN_LNC020363)
Source: RNAcentral